GCGAAUGGCUCAUUACAACAGCUAUAAUUUACUUGUUCUAUUCCUUUAAACGGAUAACUGCGGUAAUUCUGGAGCCAAUACGUGCCAAAAGACGCAUUCAGUAAUGAGUGUGUUGCAUUUAUCGGAGCAAAACCUUUCCUGGUUUUAUGCUAACUCUGGAUAACACUGCUUAUCGCAUGACCUUGUGUCGGCGAAGUUACAUUCAAGUAUCUGCCUUAUCAACUUUCGAUGGUAGUGUAUUGGACUGCCAUGGUGUUGACGGGUAACGGAGAAUCAGGGUUCGACUCCGGAGAGGGAGCCUUAGGAACGGCUACCAUGUCUAAGGACAGCAGCAGGCGCGCAACUUAUCCACUGUUCAUUGAACGAGAUAGUGACGAGAAAUAACAAGUUCGUUCUCUAUGAGGUCGAGCAUUGGAAUGGAUGGAAUCUAAACAGUUCCAUGAGUACCCACGAGAGGGCAAGUCUGGUGCCAGCAGCCGCGGUAAUUCCAGCU
This 493-nucleotide ribosomal RNA is filed under the name Aphelenchoides sp. SP2012BT8. RNAcentral's name for it is "SSU rRNA". It matches the Rfam family "Eukaryotic small subunit ribosomal RNA", at positions 89 to 590 of the family's 1831-position model. The record is from RNAcentral. Lineage: Eukaryota; Metazoa; Nematoda; Chromadorea; Rhabditida; Aphelenchoididae.